Molecule: ribosomal RNA, 293 nt
Filed under: uncultured bacterium
Lineage: Bacteria
Description: partial 16S ribosomal RNA
Rfam family: Bacterial small subunit ribosomal RNA
Source: RNAcentral
GGAUUAGAUACCCUGGUAGUCCUAGCUGUAAACGAUGGAUACUAGACGUAGGAACUGGAUUGACGGUUUCUGUGUCGCAGCUAACGCGUUAAGUAUCCCGCCUGGGGAGUACGGUCGCAAGACUAAAACUCAAAUGAAUUGACGGGGACCCGCACAAGCGGUGGAGCAUGUGGUUUAAUUCGAUGCAACGCGAAAAACCUUACCUACACUUGACAUAUAGGGUCUAGCUAUAGAGAUAUAGUGUGCAUUAGCGCCCUAUACAGGUGGUGCAUGGCUGUCGUCAGCUCGUGCCG